GCAUGCGCUAAUGUUUACGGUGGAUGUAUCUAUGCAUCGCUGUGGCUCGCGGAGAUUUUUUCGUUCAACCGAACCAGUUUGACCCAGAAUCGGACCCAGAAGGAGAAGCUCCUGAAGAAGUACAGACUCUGUGGCUGCAGCAGGACGUUUCAGAAUGUGUGUGCAAUGUGGGCGUGGCUUGCUGGUUCCUGCUGCAGCAGAGUGACGCACCUGACAGUCAUCACCUCCUGCUGCAUCACCCUGAUCUCUCCACCACUGUUCCGUCUCAUCGAUAACACCACCAUCUCUCUGCUCAGCGAUCUGCUCCAUUGCCUGAUCACCGGUGUGUCCUGCACCUCCCCGGAAACCCAGAAGAUGACAGCGCCUGGUGGUUAAGGAAACAAGAAAAUUGGAUUGCUGGUCGGACACUCGGCUCAAUUCAACCUCUUGGAAAACAUAAAAACUAGCGUGGGAGGAAAUGGGAGUGAAUCCGUAUGUUUAUGAGAGGAAUAUAAGAUAAAUACAUUACCAAACAAAGAUCUACUCAUGUCUGUAAUUUGAACUGUCACAUUUAAUUAGAUUCAUUCCCAUUUGCCCCUAAUCAGUGUCCGAGUGUACAUUUUCUGUCACAAUCACUGGGGCGUUUCCUUUGUGAUCGUCAUCCUGACUCGUUCCAACUCUGCUUUCACAUCAUGUCAGUGUGAUUGUCUUCCAGUGUGUAAACGUUUGGCCUCGUUAAUGGAACCUGAUCCUCUCUGGGAAGGAAAACUGACCAACCCACUGUGCAAAUAACACGCUUUACAAACUAUAUUCUCCCUUUUAGUUCCCUUAAAACCAGAUAUUCGUUAUUCCAGAUAUUCAGCAUGUCACGUUUUUACCUAAUGAACAGAUCUGUGAGGUCAUGCAUCACCGCCCCUCCCUCAACAUCAGACUCAUGACAUGUGACUUUGGAUUAAAGCCCAACUGGCCUCUACAUAACCUCAUGAUCACUGCACGCUUGAACACUGUCCAGCCAAUCACACACCAAGAGUUAUUGCUUCCAAACAAAUUAAAUUAAUAAGGUGUGACAUAAACACAAACCUAUAGGUAACAAACCUUAUGUAAUACCUCUGUCGAUGAGACGAGGGGCUGAAACACGUGUAGUCAGACCCUUUGAAGUGAAGUGAAGGGAAGGCGGAGAGGAGGCUGCCAGACUUCCUCCUGGUUAACUAGACAUGUGAUUAGCAUUGCUGUCUGCAGCUUGAGUUUGCCCUGCAGUCAGCCUGGUCUGCCUCCAGAGGAAAUACAGCCUGAGGGUGAUUCUGCCAACACCAAGGUAAGUCAUAUUUACAUACAUUCAUCUACUCAUGGUGUAAAGAGAAAGGUGAGCUGUGUCUCUGAGGUGUUUCUAUCUUGUUUUUGCUCAUUUUUUUUUUAGAUGUUUUUGCUUCAAAAAUGUGUCUGCAGGCAACAGUAGUUUGGCUGAUUUUUACCAAACUGAUGUCUGGUUGCUUGUAAUUACAAUUCUUGCAUUUCAAAUCUUUUAGAGCGAAUGUUAAAGAGCUUUUGACAACAUCCCCCAACCUUCUGAAAUGUUUCCACACAUUUAAAUCUCCAUAAAAGUGAAUGUUAAAUGGUUUUAAUUGGAAUAAAAUGUAUGGUUUAUCUCCACUGUUGUGCGCCUGGGAAAGCUAUUCAAGGCGUGUGUGUGUGUGUGUGUGUGUGUGUGUGUGUGUGUGUGUGUGUGUGUGUGUGUGUGUGUGUGUCCUGUUAUCAGGCCAAACCUUCCUUUUGCAAACACAAGGAGUCCUUCAUAUGUGCACCUGUUGAGUUGUGUCCAUCAACUGUGGAUAAAACACAGACAAUCUCUGGUAGACCUCACGUGAAAGGAUUUUACUGAUGUAGGAAUGAAGACUAAAUAACGUAAAGAACAUUUUAAUGAUAUUUUAAAAGUGUGUUCUCCUCACUUAACAGGUGAGAUACAGAGCUGCUCACACCCGCUAAGCAAACAGAGCUUUUAUUUGCUGCUUCACUGUUCAAGUCUAAUAAUUCAAGUGUGAGAAAGUUUGAACUAUUAUUAUAUGUUGCUGUUUGAGUACAAUGUUCCACUCUUGUUUUUAAACUUGCAUGCUUGUCUCUUUAGCAUCAGUGCCCACUUCCAGAGGCAGUAAUUAGAUUCCGAGGUCGGUGGAAAACACAAUUAUGUGAUGUUCCUGAGCAUUCCUCUGGUCCGCCGUGAUUAUAAGAGUGUUUACAUGCAGUUCAGUGCUAUUGGUUGUGUGUGUGUGAGCAUUUAUGUGUUGAUCUCAUCCUCUGAGAACACUUAAUAUAAAACUGGACCGUCUUGAAUGUAGGGCAGGCUCCGUUUGAUAGAAACUUGAUUAAGACCCUUCAGCAAUGUGAUGGCUGAACUGUGCCAGACCUCACCACAUCACAGGACCGAUGCAUGUGAUGGAGAUGUUUUUGCCACCAAAUUUAGCUCCAGGUCACUGACCACUGAUCAAGACUAUCAUUCUGGUCUGCAGAGUACAGCCCGCUGUAGACUACCUGCUCACAUGUGAUACAGACAUGAGGCGUUUUUUGUUUUUUUAUGGAUCCCACCAGACUUUUGUAAGACCUGCUGUUCUGAUUGGUUUGUGUCCAUCGUUUUUAUGUGACAAAAGCCUCAAUUGCUUAAUGGUUCUGGUUCUCCAAGCCCAAUUAAAUCCAUUAAGAUUACAAACAACAUAAGGCACGAAUAGUGGUGAAGUUUAACAUAUAGGCACCUUCUUCCGAGUGUGAAAUAACAAGUAAAUCUGAGGAUAUUUUCAUGGCCCCUGUACUGUCUGUUCGACAAUCCGAAGAAGGUUGGAGGUCAGUGGGACAAAGUGAAUUUACUUUUAAAUCAGACCAAAAAUGAGACAAGAAUAAACUAGCUAGUGUGCUACUACCGAACUGUAGUUUCCCCAGUAAACACACCGACCUCUUCAGCUGUCCCAAAUUUAGUGUCUCUGGGCUGGUUAGGUAGAGCUGACCAGGCUGGGUGGUAGACCAGAGUCAGGGCAGCUCAGUGGCAGUGAGACUGACAUAGCUGAACAAUUAGAGGCAGCAUAGGCAGGACAAGAAGGUAGGCCAUCCAAUAAUAUGAUUUCGCUCAUUGAAAUGAUUGGUUCGGCUUGUUUGUGGCCUGCGAAAGCUACAAAUACUGGAUUUUUUUGUGUUUUCUGCUGCCCCAAAAUCUCCAAAAGAAUCAGUCAGUGUAGAUUUGAAACCUUAAAAAACGACUUUAAGUUUAACCCAGGCUUAAGUCAAGGCAUAACUUCCUGUCUUGACAAAGUCUGCCACAAGCAGCUUGUAAUAAACAAUUUUAUAUUGGAGGAAAUGUCAGAAAAAAGCGAGAUGUCAAGACUCUCACAUUCCAUACAUCAUUGUAGCCUUCGUUAACGGACACAAAGUGACCCCCAUGACUCUUCUGUGAACGUCAGAGCCCAACCCUAACCCUCCUCCUGUGCAAAUACACCUUCUUGAGCCAAAGAUAAUAAAAGGCUUCAGCCGCCUGAGUCGGCCAAUUAAUAAGUGAUCCUCUAAACUAUAAUCCUUUUCCUGCCACCACGUGUUUGCAUGUAGGUUUUUUUUUUCAGCAGGCCACAAUUUAAUUUUACUGUCAGGAUUGGAUCUAAUUCAUUUUUUACUGAUGUGUGCAGACUUCAACCUUGGUAAUGCUGUGUGAAUUUGAACUGUGAACAUGUGCUGAAUUUCUGUAACCAAUUGAUUAACACUUCUCUCUUGAAGUUUUGAACCACUGUGGGCAGUGCAACACUAAUGGAUUAUAUGAAAAAAAUGAAUGCAAUGACCUGCUUUUAAAAACUGGCAGUUGUUUGACUGCAGCUGCAUGCAUGUGAAAUCCUUCUCACGUUGUUUACACCUCUCUUGACACUAUUUGUGCGGACUUAUCCGUGCUUAAUUUGCAAACAGUUUAUUAUAAUUUUUAUUCUAUUACACAGCACCGGGCAGCUUCCCAGAUCUCAGGCAUCAGAUUCACAAUCAUGCCAGUAACCAUGACAGGCAAGAAGCUGGAUCUCUCCAAGCUCACGGAUGAUGAGGCCAAGCAUGUCUGGGCAGUCGUCCAGCGAGACUUUGACCUGAGGAAGAAGGAGGAGGACAGACUUGGGGAUCUGAAGACAAAGAUAGAAAAAGAAGACACCAAGAGAGAGCUGUUGGGAAACCAGAGCAGCCUGACUGAGUCACACUGUAUUCGAUGUCUGCAGCCCUUCAAGUUCCUGGUCAACACCAAGCGUCAGUGUCUGGACUGUCAGCUCUACAUCUGCAAGUCCUGCAGCCGCUACAACAAGAAGGAGCUGGGCUGGGUGUGUGAUCCCUGUCGCAUGGCCAGAGUCCUGAAGAUCGGUACUUUGGAGUGGUACCACGAAAAUGUUCGAGCACGCUUCAAGCGCUUCGGCAGCGCCAAGGUGAUGCGAUCGCUCUUCAAGAGGCUGAGUGGACAACACAGCUGCUCUCAGAGUGAGCUCGAAGCAGAUGGAUAUGAGGAGCACAGUAUGGACGCCACAGAUUCACAACACUACAAAGAGAUGAAAAAGGCCAAAAGGCGGCUAACUGUCGACCCCUUUGAUUUCGAGCUGGGCUGUGACUACCUCAUCGAACCCAGAGGACGGCCAAAUCAGGCCCAGGUCUCCCAAGACAUCAUGGACGUGGACGGAGGCAGGAGGGAGUCGAUGCUGGCGGAGGCGGACAUGGCCUCUGUUUUCCGCCAGAUUCUGAAGGAGCAACACGAAGGUCUGGACCUGAGGAGGGCUUCACAGCAAGAUGACCUCGUGUUCACAGACAACCGGACGAAUCCCUCUCGCUCCGUCUCCCGCCUCAGUUACUCCUCCGGCGGCAGCGGGAGUGCCUGGCGCCCCCGGAGCAGCAGCUACCUGCCCGGCCCCGACGACUCCGAGGGGGAGGACGACCACAGCCAGCUCUACCCGCUGUACCAGUCUCACCUGGGCUUCACCCACACCUCGCAGGAGAGCCUGAACUCAAUGAACCCUCCGCCGCAGAUCAACGAGCUGAACAGACGUGUUUCAGCCAUUGAGAACCUCCUGAACCACUUAGAGCAGAACGUCAUCUCAACAUAUGACCAGGCUCCUCCGACUCCUACCAGCUCCUCUCCUCUCCCUCAGUGGGAGGACGUGGACUUGGAGGAGCAGCAGCUGAGACAGAAGCUGCACGAGAUGACGGACAACAUCAGCGACCACAGCCUGAGCUCUGAUGAGGAGGGCUCCGGCCGGCCAGAGGUGGAGACCAAACCCUCCAGACUGCCCACCAGACCCGCAUCCAGAUCCAGCAUCACCGUCUCCAGACUGGAGGAGGAGCUGCCUCAGCAGACUCACCCUGAGAAGACGUACGUCUCAACGGAGAGCCUGGAGAGGAAGUGGCGCCCUCUGGAGGAGGGAUCGAAGGAGAGCUUCAGAGGCUCGACAGCCAUACUGGUGGAGCUGGAGGGCCAGGUGGCACAAGCUGCAGCCAACGUCCAGAGCGCCCAGAGUGAGGUUUCUUACAUAGAGAACCGGAUCGCUGCCCUGAAUGCUGCCGGGAUGCCAGUGGACAGAAGACGAAGGUCCGCGAUCCCGAUCCAAGCAAGAAGACUUUCCCACAACUUUCCCACAAACCAGGUGGACAGGUUUGUGAGGAACUCCCUCUACAGGGGCUCCCUGACUCAGAGGAACCCAGUGGCCAAGCCCACCCCCAGGGCUACCUCUGCGGUAUGACCCCCUCCCCCCCUCGACGGUGCUGGGUGCAAAGAAGAGUUCAGUUCCACUUCAGCUGAAAAACCAGUAAUGACUCAGGGCUCGUGAGGAGGCGGCUGAGCAUCUUGUGAUGUUCUCACAGUCUGUGAGACGAAAGAGAUUCAUAUUUAUAAUUCAAGACGCUGUUCAGAGGACGGGAGCGCUCACGUUUCUUUUUUAAACUGUUUCCUUGUUGUUGUGAUAUUAUUGUUGUUAUUUUACUGGGCUAGAUCCAAACUAUAUUUAUAUUUACAGUAGCUGUUGAAUGUUUCACAUCAUGAUAUGCACUAACUCUGCUGGACCUGAUACUGAUAUACGUAUAACUAAUAUACGUUAAUCUGCAAGUUAAUCUCUUCACCUUAAUGUGCGGAAGUUUUCACUUGUGCUAAUCUAAAAUCCGUAGUGAUUUAUUUAGAUGUUCAGAUGGUACAAAUGAAAGCUACAACAUUUUGAAUUAUGCUUUCUUUAUUACACAAAUAGUCAGCCAAUCCAAAAAUACUCCUUUCUUCUUCUCUUUCUUUUUACGUCUUCUUUAAUUAUCUUCACUCCUCUCACUAGAAGAAAGAUUAAACAUAUUGUCAAAUGUUAGUUAGAGAAAUCUUGAUGUAUAUAAAUCUAAUAAAUAUAGACAUUUAUUCAUGUUCCCUGUGUAUAUGCAUUGGUGCACAAUAUAUCUGAAAUAUGUAGUUAACUUUUGUUUAUCUUUAUAUAUUGAAGAUAAGAUAUAACAGCUUUAAUGAUAUUCAGUUUUUCACCUUUCUUCUGCAUAAUCAAUCGACUAAAUCAUAUUUAUAAGGCUCUACAGAUGUGAAGUUGAAUUUCAUUUGGGAAAACGUCUUAAAUUUGGACUUUUGGUCCUUUUUUUUUUAAACCACAAGUCUCAUAUAUAUCAUCAUUUAAAGCAGCAUUAUGUAGAAGUUGGCAUCUUGUGCAACACCACUGUUGUAAACUCAAAUCCCACGUCUGUAACAGUUUGUUAGGUGCCGAUUACAAAUAAAACUCAUGACGUCAUCACAAUGUCAUGUGUUGAAAACAUGUCAUCUUGUUACAAGAAGCUGAACCAUCUAUCAUCCUUAUUUUAAAGUCAAAAAGUUACAUAAUGUUGCUUUAAUUAUGACAAUAAUGAAUCUUUAUCUGUGUGUUUUCUUUCAUACUUCAUGAAUUAACGUCUGCGGUACAAAUGAAAUCAUGACACCAAAUGAAAAUUCAGAUUGUUAUAUUUCCUCUGUGUUAGUCAGUCGGUCCAAACGCAGUUCAGUAACAAACUGUGAAUCAGUUUGUGAUUGUUUAAUUUUUGUUUUAAAAUCAGCUGUAUUAUUUGAAUGAUAUCAUAGCAAGUCUAUUGUGGUUAGUUAAAGGUACAACAAUGAAUGUAAAUCAAAUAAAUACAGACAUCUAUGCACUUUC
This is an RNA transcript of Acanthopagrus latus (yellowfin seabream), 7133 nucleotides long. It is a transcript of the gene named melanophilin b, with no coding region annotated. The record is from RefSeq and is a predicted model, not a curated record. Lineage: Eukaryota; Metazoa; Chordata; Actinopteri; Spariformes; Sparidae. The transcript is spliced from 16 exons.